AACGCAUUAAGCACUCCGCCUGGGGAGUACGGUCGCAAGANUGAAACUCAAAGGAAUUGACGGGGGCCCGCACAAGCNGGGGAGCAUGUGGUUUAAUUCGAAGCAACGGGAAGAACCUUACCAGGUCUUGACAUCCUCUGACAAUCCUAGAGAUAGGACGUCCCCUUCGGGGGCAGAGUGACAGGUGGUGCAUGGUUGUCGUCAGCUCGUGUCGUGAGAUGUUGGGUUAAGUCCCGCAACGAGCGCAACCCUUGAUCUUAGUUGCCAGCAUUCAGUUGGGCACUCUAAGGUGACUGCCGGUGACAAACCGGAGGAAGGGUGGGGAUGACGUCAAAUCAUCAUGCCCCUUAUGACCUGGGCUACACACGUGCUACAAUGGACAGAACAAAGGGCAGCGAAACCGCGAGGUUCAAGCCAAUCCCACAAAUCUGUUCUCAGUUCGGAUCGCAGUCUGCAACUCGACUGCGUGAAGCUGGAAUCGCUAGUAAUCGCGGAUCAGCAUGCCGCGGUGAAUACGUUCCCGGGCCUUGUACACACCGCCCGUCACACCACGAGAGUUUGUAACACCCGAAGUCGGUGAGGUAACCUUUAUGGAGCCAGCCGCCGAAGUGGGACAGAUGAUUGGGGUGAAGUCGUAACAAGGUAAC
This 647-nucleotide ribosomal RNA is filed under the name Bacillus sp. DJM4D1. RNAcentral describes it as "bacterial SSU rRNA". It matches the Rfam family "Bacterial small subunit ribosomal RNA", at positions 854 to 1500 of the family's 1533-position model. The record is from RNAcentral. Lineage: Bacteria; Bacillati; Bacillota; Bacilli; Caryophanales; Bacillaceae.